This 492-nucleotide ribosomal RNA is filed under the name uncultured bacterium. RNAcentral describes it as "partial 16S ribosomal RNA". It matches the Rfam family "Bacterial small subunit ribosomal RNA", at positions 29 to 507 of the family's 1533-position model. The record is from RNAcentral.
AGUGAACGCUGGCGGUAGGCCUAACACAUGCAAGUCGAACGGCAGCACAGUAAGAGCUUGCUCUUACGGGUGGCGAGUGGCGGACGGGUGGGGAAUACAUCGGAAUCUACUUUUUCGUGGGGGAUAACGUAGGGACACUUACGCUAAUACCGCAUACGACCUACGGGUGAAAGCAGGGGAUCUUCGGACCUUGCGCGAUUGAAUGAGCCGAUGUCGGAUUAGCUAGUUGGCGGGGUAAAGGCCCACCAAGGCGACGAUCCGUAGCUGGUCUGAGAGGAUGAUCAGCCACACUGGAACUGAGACACGGUCCAGACUCCUACGGGAGGCAGCAGUGGGGAAUAUUGGACAAUGGGCGCAAGCCUGAUCCAGCCAUACCGCGUGGGUGAAGAAGGCCUUCGGGUUGUAAAGCCCUUUUGUUGGGAAAGAAAAGCAGCAGGUUAAUACCCCGCUGUUCUGACGGUACCCAAAGAAUAAGCACCGGCUAACUUCGUG